Non-coding RNA from Dermacentor andersoni, 608 nucleotides. The record is from RefSeq and is a predicted model, not a curated record. Lineage: Eukaryota; Metazoa; Arthropoda; Arachnida; Ixodida; Ixodidae.
UUGAUAGUAUGUUCUGUGUUACUUGGCGGAAAGCCGUAAGUAGUGGCGGUGCGGCAGUGCGGCUUUGGCCUCGGUGAGCUCUGGCACUACAGAAUCUGCGUUGUGUGACCCGUGCUUUAUUGAGAACCCGGCGGUGCUGACAAUUGAAAUAUCGAAGUGGCCUAGCGCCUCGGCAGCGAAGUUCUGCGAACCGCGAUGUGGCGUCGCCGUGUCCGACUUUGCUUAACGGACAUCGAGGGAUGUGCUGCUCGCUGCAAGUCAUGCACCUUUUCUACUUGAAGCUUCCAUUGCAGUGUUUUGAACAUCAUUGAACCAGCACAUAGUGUAUAUAAAUAUUGGACACUGAUUGGGAACAUCACCUAAGUUCAUGCCUAUAUAUAGUAAAAAGAUGUAGCACGACCAGACAAAAUAAAAGGGGGUGGGCUGUAGCAACACUAAGUGUUAAAUGCUGCUUUAUCCUUUCCCUUGAGUUUUCUGUUUUUGUGCAGUUUUAUGGAUCCUCCGCAGUAACCAUGCGAGUGCCAAGCUUGAGCUUGUUGGUUUCAAGUCUCAUGGUUGUUACUAACAGAACAGUGUGAUAAACGAACAAGGGCUUGGAGGCAUCCGUU